UGAAAAAUGAGUGAAAUUGCUUGAAAAUGCCUGGCAAUUGGGGUUCCCUGUUCAGGAAACGGCUGACAGUGAAUGAGUUUAGCACCUGCAGUUUGUGAAAAUGUGCUGCUUUGCACAUACGCUUAAUCUAGCAGCACAAAGUCUAUACUCCCUUAGUGCAGUGACUCAGUGGGUGGCCAAGCUCCGAACUACUGCUGUGUAGCUGAAUACAUGCUUAACUCAUUCCCUGCCAAUGACGUCCAAAGACGUCAAUGGCGUUUUUUAACGGGGAUGGGUGGGGGAGGGUCUUGUACAGUUUAUGUGUGAUCGUCAAGCCUCUGGAUAACUGCAAUGAGGAUUGGUACCCUGUAGAGGGCAACAAUGCCUUGAGGUGAAUGUCCCUUCCUCAGAUUGAAGAGGAGGAAGGAGGGGGCGAGCGGGCGGGGUGUAACAGACAAUGAGAAGAGACAAACAAAUGGCAGCAAAGACAGAAGACAAAAUGAAAAAAAUCUAAAGAGGAAGGAGGGGGCGAGCGGGCGGGGUGUAACAGACAAUGAGAAGAGACAAACAAAUGGCAGCAAAGACAGAAGACAAAAUGAAAAAAAUCUAAAAAUAAAACUAAAAAGCUUUCAGUUCUACAAAUUUAAUGCACCAAGGCAAGAAAAAUAUUCCUGCGACCGACAGGAAUGACGCCUUAGAUCAUACGGGGAAUAAAGGAUGACGCUCCGAGUUGAUCACUUUGUUCCAAAGCAAAAUGCCGGCCUAUACAUAUGGCGAGAUUCUCUCGGCCGCUUGCUGGCUGAUCGUCUGCCAACCAGGAUUUGAAUAAAUGGGAUCCGGAAUCGUCAGAUAGUGAACUUCCUUUUGGAUAGCCAGGCGAGCUUCAUCCCGAGCUUCCACCGACGAAGUCCAACGAAGACGAAGGAAUUCAACACGUGCGAGUCGAGCGUCUUUUAGGAUUGCGACGAAGAAAACAAAUGUUGUUUUUUUACCCUUGCAAAACACGUCAUCGAUAAAAGGUAUUCUCCAGUAAUCGUAUGUAUUUUUUAAAAUUGAAAGGUAAUGCAUCCAACAGACGUUCUACUCCCAUUCCAGUACGCAGUGCAGACAGAAAAAGGUUGUGCUUCGAGCAGAAGAAGUGACUGGUUUCAGGGAGAAUGACAACUACACAAGAUCCCAUUCAACAGAAGAAUAAAAUAAAAUGUGGAUAAAACUUUUAUCACUUAGAUUUACAUAGAUACAUAGAUUUUAUGCGCAAGGUAAUAAAAACCUGGACUAUUGAGCAAACAAUAGAGGAAAUUUGGAGGAAAAAAGUCUAAGUGUGGUAGGUCUAAUGUAAAUUCUGUACAGUUAUACUUGAAAAUAAAUUAUUUUUCUGUCAAAAGUACUUUCUCAGUGUUGUUUUAUGUUGAGAUGUUAGAGAUUUUCACUAAAGAAAAAAAAUAUUGGUGUCAAAGUCAUUGUUCUGCUUGAUGUGCCUGCUUUUACAAAAAGGCUGUUUUCUCAGU
Molecule: long non-coding RNA, 1487 nt
Organism: Phyllopteryx taeniolatus (common seadragon)
Lineage: Eukaryota; Metazoa; Chordata; Actinopteri; Syngnathiformes; Syngnathidae
Exons: 3
Source: RefSeq, a predicted model, not a curated record